UGCCUCAGCUGGGAGUCACGUCCUUUCCCCUUUCCGGUUCUACCCUCCUGAAAUGGAGGUAAGAUGGCAGAAGUCAGAGCAAGCACUGUGGGACCUUGGGAAAAAAAGUCAAGAGAAUCUCAGUUAUCUCAAGGACCAAAGCUAUUUGAAUCACAACUGGAAACUACCGAGGGAUUGUUCCUUCUCUGGGCUCCAGUGAAAGGCAGUGGUCAUCCUUGUCAUUCAAGAACAAGAGGGGACAACAGAGUGCCAAAAACAAGUGCUGCUUUUGGUGGAGAACAAAACUUCUGGUUUAAAAGAAGAUAAUAGAACAAUUAAGCUAUUUUUUUUUACUUACAUUGACCAGCUUGACAAGCAAAGAUCUUUUCUAGGAUGAAAAAAUGUGUCUUUGUUUUCACUUGUGUUAG
RNAcentral lists this long non-coding RNA (407 nucleotides) under Bos indicus x Bos taurus (hybrid cattle). RNAcentral's name for it is "lncRNA (ENSBIXG00000005603.1)". Lineage: Eukaryota; Metazoa; Chordata; Mammalia; Artiodactyla; Bovidae. The record is from RNAcentral.